This 253-nucleotide ribosomal RNA is filed under the name uncultured bacterium. RNAcentral's name for it is "partial 16S ribosomal RNA". It matches the Rfam family "Bacterial small subunit ribosomal RNA", at positions 524 to 776 of the family's 1533-position model. The record is from RNAcentral.
UACAGAGGGGGCAAGCGUUAUUCGGAAUUAUUGGGCGUAAAGGGCGCGUAGGCGGCUUUGCAAGUGACGGGUGAAAUCCCUCGGCUUAACCGAGGAACUGCCUGUCAGACUGUGAGGCUUGAGACCGGGAGAGGUGAGUGGAAUUCCCAGUGUAGCGGUGAAAUGCGUAGAUAUUGGGAGGAACACCGGUGGCGAAGGCGGUUCUCUGGGAAUGUCCUGACGCUGAGGAGCGAAAGUGUGGGGAGCGAACAGG